RNAcentral lists this ribosomal RNA (497 nucleotides) under uncultured bacterium. Its description in RNAcentral is "partial 16S ribosomal RNA". It matches the Rfam family "Bacterial small subunit ribosomal RNA", at positions 28 to 507 of the family's 1533-position model. The record is from RNAcentral.
GAUGAACGCUGGCGGCGUGCCUAAUACAUGCAAGUCGAGCGAACGGACGAGAAGCUUGCUUCUCUGAUGUUAGCGGCGGACGGGUGAGUAACACGUGGAUAACCUACCUAUAAGACUGGGAUAACUUCGGGAAACCGGAGCUAAUACCGGAUAAUAUUUUGAACCGCAUGGUUCAAAAGUGAAAGACGGUCUUGCUGUCACUUAUAGAUGGAUCCGCGCUGCAUUAGCCAGUUGGUAAGGUAACGGCUUACCAAGGCAACGAUGCAUAGCCGACCUGAGAGGGUGAUAGGCCACACUGGAGCUGAGACGCGGUCAAGACGCCUACGGGAGGCAGCAGUAGGGAAUCUGACGCAGUGGGCGAAAGCCUGACGGAGCAACGCCGCGUGAGUGAUGAAGGUCUUCGGAUCGUAAAACUCUGUUAUUAGGGAAGAACAUAUGUGUAAGUAACUGUGCACAGCUUGACGGUACCUAAUCAGAAAGCCACGGCUAACUACGUG